RNAcentral lists this ribosomal RNA (464 nucleotides) under Vreelandella stevensii. Its description in RNAcentral is "partial 16S ribosomal RNA". It matches the Rfam family "Bacterial small subunit ribosomal RNA", at positions 339 to 795 of the family's 1533-position model. Lineage: Bacteria; Pseudomonadati; Pseudomonadota; Gammaproteobacteria; Oceanospirillales; Halomonadaceae. The record is from RNAcentral.
CUACGGGCGGCAGCAGUGGGGAAUAUUGGACAAUGGGCGAAAGCCUGAUCCAGCCAUGCCGCGUGUGUGAAGAAGGCCUUCGGGUUGUAAAGCACUUUCAGUGGGGAAGAAAGCCUUGGGGCUAAUACCCUCGAGGAAGGACAUCACCCACAGAAGAAGCACCGGCUAACUCCGUGCCAGCAGCCGCGGUAAUACGGAGGGUGCGAGCGUUAAUCGGAAUUACUGGGCGUAAGGCGCGCGUAGGCGGUCUGAUAAGCCGGUUGUGAAAGCCCCGGGCUCAACCUGGGAACGGCAUCCGGAACUGUCAGGCUAGAGUGCAGGAGAGGAAGGUAGAAUUCCCAGUGUAGCGGUGAAAUGCGUAGAGAUCGGGAGGAAUACCAGUGGCGAAGGCGGCCUUCUGGACUGACACUGACGCUGAGGUGCGAAAGCGUGGGGAGCAAACAGGAUUAGAUACCCCAGUAGUC